CAGCCGCGCGGGAAUACAGAGGGUGCAAGCGUUAAUCGGAAUUACUGGGCGUAAAGCGCGCGUAGGUGGUUUGUUAAGUUGGAUGUGAAAUCCCCGGGCUCAACCUGGGAACUGCAUCCAAAACUGGCAAGCUAGAGUAUGGUAGAGGGUGGUGGAAUUUCCUGUGUAGCGGUGAAAUGCGUAGAUAUAGGAAGGAACACCAGUGGCGAAGGCGACCACCUGGACUGAUACUGACACUGAGGUGCGAAAGCGUGGGGAGCAAACAGGAUUAGAUACCCCCGUAGUCCCUGUCUCUUAUCCA
Molecule: ribosomal RNA, 301 nt
Filed under: uncultured bacterium
Lineage: Bacteria
Description: partial 16S ribosomal RNA
Rfam family: Bacterial small subunit ribosomal RNA
Source: RNAcentral